Notechis scutatus (mainland tiger snake) is the source of this 122-nucleotide non-coding RNA. The record is from RefSeq and is a predicted model, not a curated record. Lineage: Eukaryota; Metazoa; Chordata; Lepidosauria; Squamata; Elapidae.
CAGCAUCUAGUGAAACUGGCAGCAGAGUCAGAUAGUAGAGGAGGUUGGGGAGAAACAUGGGCCAGAACUGGUGGCUGAGGAAGGCUCAGAGGAGGGUUCUGUGUCAGAGGCAGAGAUGGGGC